Non-coding RNA from Potamilus streckersoni, 72 nucleotides. The record is from the annotation of a GenBank genome assembly. Lineage: Eukaryota; Metazoa; Mollusca; Bivalvia; Unionida; Unionidae.
UCCUGUGGCCUAGUGGUUAAAGCGUCCGCCUCGGAUGUCAGAGGUCGCUGGUUCGAACCCCGGCCAAGUCAU